RNAcentral lists this unclassified non-coding RNA (233 nucleotides) under plant metagenome. Its description in RNAcentral is "partial contains small subunit ribosomal RNA, internal transcribed spacer 1, and 5.8S ribosomal RNA". The stretch from base 1 to 54 matches the Rfam family "Eukaryotic small subunit ribosomal RNA", at positions 1778 to 1831 of the family's 1831-position model. The record is from RNAcentral.
GGAAGUAAAAGUCGUAACAAAGUUUCCGUAGGUGAACCUGCGGAAGGAUCAUUCAUAAUAAAGUGUUUUAUGGCACUUUUUAAAAAUCCAUAUCCACCUUGUGUGCAAUGUUAGAUCUCGUCAAUCUUGGCGAGAUUUUUAUACAUCAACUCAUUCUUUAACUAAUUUGUCUGAAAAAUAUUAUGAAUACUUAAUUCAAAAUACAACUUUCAACAACGGAUCUCUUGGCUCUC